RNAcentral lists this ribosomal RNA (419 nucleotides) under uncultured bacterium. Its description in RNAcentral is "partial 16S ribosomal RNA". It matches the Rfam family "Bacterial small subunit ribosomal RNA", at positions 361 to 772 of the family's 1533-position model. The record is from RNAcentral.
AUUUAGGACAAUGGGUGAAACCCGGAUCCAGCCAUCCCGCGUGUAUGAUGAUGGCCUUCGGGUUGUAAAAUACUUUUGGCUGAGAAGAAAAGGUACCUCCUAAUACAACGUACUGCUGACGGCCGCUGCUGAAUAAGACCUGGCUAACUACGUGCAUGCAGCCGCGGUAAUACGUAGGGUGCAACCGUUAAUCGGAAUUACUGGGCGUAAAACGUGUUUCGGCGGUUCGGAAAGAAAGAUGUGAACUCGCGAGGCUCAACCUUGGAACUGCAUUUUUAACUGCAGAGCUAGAGUAUGUCAGAAGGGGGUAGAAUUCCACGUGUAGCAGUGAAAUGCGUAGAUAUGUGGAGGAAUACCGAUGGCGAAGGCAGCCCCCUGGGAUAAUACUGACGCUCAGACACGAAAGCGUGGGGAGCAAA